UGGCACCCUAGUUUAAUAAAAAAAUAUCGGCCUUGUAUGCCGGGGAUUGCAGGGUGGGGUGCCU
This 64-nucleotide transfer RNA is filed under the name Breviscolex orientalis. RNAcentral describes it as "tRNA-Thr". Lineage: Eukaryota; Metazoa; Platyhelminthes; Cestoda; Caryophyllidea; Capingentidae. The record is from RNAcentral.